Molecule: ribosomal RNA, 484 nt
Filed under: uncultured bacterium
Lineage: Bacteria
Description: partial 16S ribosomal RNA
Rfam family: Bacterial small subunit ribosomal RNA
Source: RNAcentral
AUUGAACGCUGGCGGCAGGCCUAACACAUGCAAGUCGAGCGGAUGAAGGGAGCUUGCUCCUGGAUUCAGCGGCGGACGGGUGAGUAAUGCCUAGGAAUCUGCCUGGUAGUGGGGGAUAACGUCCGGAAACGGGCGCUAAUACCGCAUACGUCCUGAGGGAGAAAGUGGGGGAUCUUCGGACCUCACGCUAUCAGAUGAGCCUAGGUCGGAUUAGCUAGUUGGUGGGGUAAAGGCCUACCAAGGCGACGAUCCGUAACUGGUCUGAGAGGAUGAUCAGUCACACUGGAACUGGGACACGGUCCAGACUACUAAGGGACGCAGCAGUGGGGAAUAUUGGACAAUGGGCGAAAUCCUGAUCCAGCCAUGCCGCGUGUGUGAAGAAGGUCUUCGGAUUGUAAAGCACUUUAAGUUGGGAAGAAGGGCAGUAAGUUAAUACCUUGCUGUUUUGACGUUACCAACAGAAUAAGCACCGGCUAACUUCGUG